This 197-nucleotide unclassified non-coding RNA is filed under the name soil metagenome. RNAcentral's name for it is "partial contains 5.8S ribosomal RNA, internal transcribed spacer 2, and large subunit ribosomal RNA". The record is from RNAcentral.
AAGACUAUAGACCUGCGGAGUACCUGCGGAAGGAUCAUUCACAAUAAGUGUUUUAUGGCACUUUAAUUCCAUAUCCACCUUGUGUGCAACGUAGUUCGUUUUUCGAACAAAACAUCAACAUUUUAAUUAUCAACAGAUCGUCUGAAGUAUUAUAUGAAUAAAUCAAUUCAAAAUACAACUUUUAACAACGGAUCUCU